GCCCUAGUAGUAUAAAUAUUACUUUGGUCUUGUAAACCAAAAAUGAAGUAUCUCAAACCUUCUUAGAGCA
This 70-nucleotide transfer RNA is filed under the name Petaurista hainana. RNAcentral describes it as "tRNA-Thr". Lineage: Eukaryota; Metazoa; Chordata; Mammalia; Rodentia; Sciuridae. The record is from RNAcentral.